AAGACUAGUUAUACCAAAAUCUUUGAAGAAAACUAGCUAAAUUAUCUAGAUCGUUGUUCAUCAUAGGCAACAGGGAAUCCUAAAUCUCAUUUGAAGUAAAGGGUUUGAUGACUUUCUCAUUAUACCCAUAAGAUACUAGGAUAAGGGAUGAUUUAGUCCCAAAUUGCAUCGUAGCAUCAUUCUUAAUCAUUUUGUUAAAUAUCGAAUUUUGUAUGAUUUCUAAACUUCUUCUAGUCCCUCCUUGACCUCUAGAAUGAUGAAUUUCUGAGAAACAAAUAAAUUUUGGGAAAUGUAGGAUAUAUUAAAUUAAAUUAGCAAAUAGCAGAUAAAUCAUCAACAAAAUAAAUAUACAUAGAGAAGUAAAGUUAUUAGUAAUAUUUCAAAAUUCUAAUAGUAAAUAAUACUAGAGCUGAUCAUAGUCGGGCCUCGGGCCUAAACUCUAUUCAUUUUUAAUCAGGCUUCGGGCCGGGCCUAUGUAAUAUUUGAUAUUUUUUUGUGCACAAACCCAGCUCAUGAUCAACUAUGAAUAAUACUAAAAUAAAAUAAUUAUUAAUAAUAUAAUCAUAAAAAUAGUUAAUCUUGAUUAAUAAUAGUAUA
This 597-nucleotide long non-coding RNA is filed under the name Phoenix dactylifera (date palm). Its description in RNAcentral is "long non-coding RNA (PDAC_LNC004466)". Lineage: Eukaryota; Viridiplantae; Streptophyta; Magnoliopsida; Arecales; Arecaceae. The record is from RNAcentral.